RNAcentral lists this ribosomal RNA (372 nucleotides) under uncultured organism. RNAcentral's name for it is "bacterial SSU rRNA". It matches the Rfam family "Bacterial small subunit ribosomal RNA", at positions 526 to 896 of the family's 1533-position model. The record is from RNAcentral.
CGGGGGGGGCAAGCGUUGUUCGGAAUUACUGGGCGUAAAGGGUGCGUAGGCGGUCCGCUAAGUUGGAUGUGAAAACUCUGGGCUUAACCCAGAGCCUGCAUUCAAAACUGACGGGCUAGAGUUCUGGAGGGGGUAGCGGAAUUCCUGGUGUAGCGGUGAAAUGCGUAGAUAUCAGGAGGAACACCGGUGGCGAAGGCGGCUACCUGGACAGAAACUGACGCUGAGGCACGAAAGCUAGGGGAGCAAACAGGAUUAGAUACCCUGGUAGUCCUAGCCCUAAACGAUGGAUACUUGGUGUGACCGGGAUUGAAUCCGGUCGUGCCGAAGCUAACGCAUUAAGUAUCCCGCCUGGGGAGUACGGUCGCAAGGCUG